This 30-nucleotide non-coding RNA is filed under the name Homo sapiens (human). Lineage: Eukaryota; Metazoa; Chordata; Mammalia; Primates; Hominidae. The record is from RNAcentral.
GCAGCUACAGCCCAGAGACCUUCCGCCAGC